Molecule: long non-coding RNA, 640 nt
Organism: Monopterus albus (swamp eel)
Lineage: Eukaryota; Metazoa; Chordata; Actinopteri; Synbranchiformes; Synbranchidae
Exons: 3
Source: RefSeq, a predicted model, not a curated record
GAGACAUCCAGCAAAACAAUGAAAUCUUCAGAGUCACAACCAGAAUAGCAACAAAAUACUGUAGAGAAACACCUCAAUAAACACAGCAUGGAAUUCAUGAUCCAGUUCUGCACAAGACAGAAAAGUGUUGUCUUCAGUUAUUUUCAAAGUGUUCCUGUAGGUUCCUCUGUGCGGUUUCCUACACGAAGUGCUUCCGAUGCGCGAGUGACAGAUGUUUCGACUCCUUUGCAAAAUGCAGAAGGCAGGAAAAGUGAAACCAGAUGUAGAGUCCUCAGCAUCACAGAAUUUGAGGUCAUCCUUCAGAAUAGUGCUAUCUUGUCCUGAUUUUUAAUGAAAGCAAAUGCCUUAAUAUGCAACAAGACACCAGGUGUGAAGGCAGUGGUAGAUUCUAGAGGAUAAUAUACAAGGUAAAUAUCAAAAAAAUUAAAUAAAACAAAAGAAAAAAUAAAGGAAAAGGCCUCUGGGCAAAUAUUUGUUUUAUACAGGUUGAGCCUCUGGGUCGCUGCUGGCAAGAUACUCGACAAAAUGACAGCACUUGGUUGGUUCUUUUGAGACUUCGAGGCCAUUUGCCUUUAUGUGACAGGUUGUGUAUCCUUCUGACAGAAAUGUUUCUUUUUUAUCACAGUCAGUUAGGGAUGAG